Molecule: ribosomal RNA, 497 nt
Filed under: uncultured bacterium
Lineage: Bacteria
Description: partial 16S ribosomal RNA
Rfam family: Bacterial small subunit ribosomal RNA
Source: RNAcentral
GAUGAACGCUGGCGGCGUGCCUAAUACAUGCAAGUCGAGCGAACGGACUAGAAGCUUGCUUCUCUGAUGUUAGCUGCGGACGGGUGAGUAACACUUGGAUAACCUACCUAUAAGACUGGGAUAACUUCGGGAAACCGGAGCUAAUACCGGAUAAUAUUUUUAACCGCAUGGUUCAACAGUAAAAGACGGUCUUGCUGUCACUUAUAGAUGGAUCCGCGCUGCAUUAGCUAGUUGGUAAGGUAACGGCUUACCAAGGCAACGAUGCAUAGCCGACCUGAGAGGGUGAUCGGCCACACUGGAACUGAGACACGGUCCAGACUCCUACGGGAGGCAGCAGUAGGGAAUCUUCCGCAAUGGGCGAAAGCCUGACGGAGCAACGCCGCGUGAGUGAUGAAGGUCUUCGGAUCGUAAAACUCUGUUAUUAGGGAAGAACAUAUGUGUAAGUAACUGUGCACAUCUUGACGGUACCUAAUCAGAAAGCCACGGCUAACUACGUG